GUUUUUCCUAGAGUUCCCUUGAACGCUUCAUUAAGGGUUGUAUAUCAUCGUAUCAAAAGAUAAUUCCAUACUGAAGUGUUUGGGGGAACUCCUGGUGAUAC
This 101-nucleotide microRNA precursor is filed under the name Vigna angularis (adzuki bean). RNAcentral describes it as "mir-395 microRNA precursor family". It matches the Rfam family "mir-395 microRNA precursor family". Rfam says of the family: mir-395 was identified in both Arabidopsis thaliana and Oryza sativa computationally and was later experimentally verified. mir-395 is thought to target mRNAs coding for ATP sulphurylases. The mature sequence is excised from the 3' arm of the hairpin. The record is from Rfam by way of RNAcentral. Lineage: Eukaryota; Viridiplantae; Streptophyta; Magnoliopsida; Fabales; Fabaceae. RNAcentral also lists the same sequence under 1 other name.